CUUCUCCCACCGUACUCAUUCUCUCUGUCUCUGUGAGAUUCAGGACCUUGGCCUUUUUAACUUUUAAGAAGAUGAUGAAUGAUUCAGAUAGGAUUGCAGUAGUGAGAACAUUUUGAUAUGUAUUGAGUCAGCAAUAUGAUCUUGGUACGUAUUCGUAUAGAAUCAUGUCCAGGUUGGAUGUAUCACAAAUCUCCAUAACGCCUCACCUUGGGCCGUUCAUCUCUUGACACCUGUCUCUUUCUUAUUAUCUUGUUUCUUACUUUAGACUUUUCGCGCUGU
RNAcentral lists this unclassified non-coding RNA (279 nucleotides) under uncultured bacterium. RNAcentral describes it as "contains 16S-23S intergenic spacer region". The record is from RNAcentral.